GACUUAGUGGCGGACGGGUGAGUAAUGCAUGAGCAACCUGCCCUGCAGUGGGGGACAACAGUUGGAAACGACUGCUAAUACCGCAUGAUGUAUCUGGAAGGCAUCUUCCGGAUACCAAAGAUUUAUCGCUGUGGGAUGGGCUCAUGUCUGAUUAGUUAGUUGGUGGGGUAACGGCCUACCAAGACUGCGAUCAGUAGCCGGACUGAGAGGUUGAACGGCCACAUUGGGACUGAGAUACGGCCCAGACUCC
RNAcentral lists this ribosomal RNA (250 nucleotides) under uncultured Oscillospiraceae bacterium. Its description in RNAcentral is "partial 16S ribosomal RNA". It matches the Rfam family "Bacterial small subunit ribosomal RNA", at positions 89 to 339 of the family's 1533-position model. Lineage: Bacteria; Bacillati; Bacillota; Clostridia; Eubacteriales; Oscillospiraceae. The record is from RNAcentral.